GACGAACGCUGGCGGCGUGCUUAACACAUGCAAGUCGAACGAAGAGCGAUGGAAGCUUGCUUCUAUCAAUCUUAGUGGCGAACGGGUGAGUAACGCGUAAUCAACCUGCCCUUCAGAGGGGGACAACAGUUGGAAACGACUGCUAAUACCGCAUACGAUCUAAUCGCGGCAUCGAGGAUAGAUGAAGGGUGGCCUCUAAAUGUAAGCCAUCACUGAAGGAGGGGAGUUCGUCUGAUUAGCUAGUUGGAGGGGUAACGGCCCACCAAGGCGAUGAUGAGUAGCCGGGCUGGAAGGAUGAACGGCCACAAUGGGACUGAGACCCGGCCCAGAAUCCUACGGGAGGCAGCAGUGGGGAAUCUUCCGCAAUGGACGAAAGGCUGACGGAGCAACGCCGCGUGAGGGAUGACGGCCUUCGGGUUGUAAAGCUCUGUUAAUCGGGACGAAAGGCCUUCUUGCGAAUAGUGAGAAGGAUUGACGGUACCGGAAUAGAAAGCCACGGCUAACUACGUG
RNAcentral lists this ribosomal RNA (510 nucleotides) under uncultured bacterium. Its description in RNAcentral is "partial 16S ribosomal RNA". It matches the Rfam family "Bacterial small subunit ribosomal RNA", at positions 28 to 507 of the family's 1533-position model. The record is from RNAcentral.